RNAcentral lists this ribosomal RNA (778 nucleotides) under uncultured Neocallimastigales. Its description in RNAcentral is "partial large subunit ribosomal RNA". It matches the Rfam family "Eukaryotic large subunit ribosomal RNA", at positions 23 to 646 of the family's 3401-position model. Lineage: Eukaryota; Fungi; Neocallimastigomycota; Neocallimastigomycetes; Neocallimastigales. The record is from RNAcentral.
AGAGAGAGACAUGCGCGCAUAUCAAUAAGCGGAGGAAAAGAAACUAACUAGGAUUCCCCUAGUAACGGCGAGUGAAGCGGGAAGAGCUCAAAUUUGAAAUCUUCAAGGUUCUACCUUGAGCGAAUUGUAGUUUAAAGAAGUGUUUUCUGUUGGAGUUUUGGUAAAAGUUCUUUGGAAUAGGACAUCAUAGAGGGUGAGAAUCCCGUAUUUGACCAUUAUUUCCAGCUUUGUGAUACACUUUCAAAGAGUCGGAUUGUUUGGGAAUGCAGUCCAAAAUGGGUGGUAAAUUUCAUCUAAAGCUAAAUAUUGGCGAGAGACCGAUAGCGAACAAGUACCGUGAGGGAAAGAUGAAAGGAACUUUGAAAAGAGAGUUAAACAGUACGUGAAAUUGUCAAAAGGGAAGCGUUUGACACCAGUGUUGUUUUCUCGAAAAUCAAUUAAAAAAGGCAGGAUUUUGUGUUGUAUUGACCUUAAUCAGCUUCUGCACUUCAAUUUUCUUGUCUUUUUUAAUGCACUUUUCGUUUAACAAGUCAACAUCAGUUUCUUUUGUUGUAAAAGGGUCAUUGGAAGGUGGCUUUCUUUUCGGAGAAAGUGUUUAUAGCCUUUGGCCUCUGCAAUCGGAGAGAUUGAGGUCUGCAGCGUAGAUCCUUCGGGGUUAGAUACAUUUGUGCUAAGUUAUAGCCUUUCAUAGACAACUUGUUGACUAUGAUCAGUCAUGUAGCUUACUCGCUUAUGCUAUUUUACCUACGCUUAGGAUGUUGAUGUGAUACUGCGAGCA